GCUGGCAUGACUGCAGUAAACUCAGCCAUGUUCAUUGCAAAAUCCUCCUCCUGUUUUGGUUUUCCGAGUCAAACGAAAGGCGGCGUUAUUACGUGUAUUACGUCCGUGGAUAGUGGGCGCGGUGCGUGCUCUCUGUCGGACUGCUGCUGUACAACAGCGGCGUGCAGAUAAAGGGAAUCUCCUGGAGUGUCAUCACGAAGUCUGACUGCUGUCAGUGUGGUUUCAGUCCGUUUGAUUUUUACGGCAACUUCGUUUUUGCUCCCUCUCUAUUUAUCAUCCUCAACCAGCUCUCAACCUUCACUGGCAUCACUCCGCCUGUUCCUCGUGCUUCCUCCACCUCGUUAAGCAGUUCAUUUGCUUGUCACAACCUGCUGCGACACUUCAGUGAUACCUGCUUUGGACGGAGGAGGCUGCCCAGGGGGAACAAAAUAUUUCUCGUGGGAUCAACUGUGGAGAAAAACCAGAAUGUGUUUUUCCAUCCAGAAAUCUGCAGCAUUUGUCAUCCAUGUUUCCGUAGUGAUGAGCGUGCUUUUGCAGCUUCCUUUUGGAGAGACUCUGCACCCUCCAGUCUCUACUGGUGCUGGGGGCUCAGAUCCAGUGUUCUACUGCAAGGCUGCAGGAUGUGCUGCCGAUGUGACGGUAGUGUUCUGUAAUGAUUCAGCGGUUCAACAUGGUCUCCUCCCAGACUGCUCAGCACCGCUGCUGCGCCACACAGCGUGCCAACGUGAUGGUCGCGCUUUUGUUUCCAGCCCAGCAGGGACUCGCUGUCAGUUUGAAGGGGGUGGGGAAAACAUUCCCAAAGAAGAAUGUACAGGCACUGACCCCAACUGCCUUUGGAUUUCUGUUUCUUCCCCAUCACCAACCACUUCCAACAAAGAGAAGAAAGCAGAGGGUAUCAGUCCAGGAUACAUUGCCUUAGCAGUCAUCUGUGAGUUCCAGUCUUCAUCUAGCUGCGACGCUCUGCGUUCAGAUUCAAUGCUUCAGGCACAAAUCUUCUCUCCUCCUACUUGCGCCCGUCUCCAACACCUCAGUGUGCCGUUUCACCUGCUCAGUCAGCUCUGCCCUCCCUCUCUGCUGCAGACUCUGCUUCAGUCCCUGCUGCUACUUCUGUCUAGUAGCCUUUCCAGUCAAAGCAAUGACCGUGUGUGUCGGGGAAACCCUGUCCUCAUUGGGUGGAGCUUGUUUCAGAGCGUGCUUCACCCCCGAUGAUGGGAGACUGAUUGGAUUCAUCUGCUUUGUACUGAGGGCCUGGCUUCAGAUCCCAGCUGGAAUGGCUACUCUCUGCAUGGAGUUUGUUCUCCCUGUGCAUGCCUGUGUUUUCUCUCUUGCUUCCUCCCACAGUCUAAGAACACAACUGUUAUAUUUGUAGGUCACCUUAGGUGUGUGUAUGUUUGGUUCCCUGUGAAGGACCUUUGACCUCCCCAGGGUUGUACCCCAGUGACCACUAAAGAGAGGCACCAGCAUUUACCCUGCAAGGAUCAGGUGUAGACAAGCGGCUGGAUAGAUGGAAAUAUUUAUCUAGUAAACAACUUGCAAAUGAACGCUGUGUCUCAGCGAUAUUUGUCCUGUUGUUUGUUUUUCACACACACCUGACUGGCAGUAAAUAUAGAAGAAUAAGGUCCAAAAACAUGUCCAUCAUCUCUUUCAACUCUAAAUGGGAAAAUGGUUUUACAACCAAAUAACUUUGUGCUGACAAAGAUGUUAAUUUUGAUUUUGAUCAUAAAUUUAGAUCAAAAGCAGGUAAAGGAUAAGCAACGGGUUGUUCCUUCUGUUUUUGUGUGCCGUUCAGAUUUUGUGUGUACAGAGCACUACGACAAAAAGAGGAAGAAGUGCUUAUAUUUCAUAGAUUGUGAAAUAUGCAUAUGAUACAUAGAUUUACAUUCAGAUAUUGUGCCUUCAGUGCAGCUUUAUGUUUAUGUCUUAGAAUAAAUACUGGAUCUCUUCUUUCACGUUGGAGGCCAAAAUGAACAACUGCCUUACACACAACAAGGAUGCUCAACUACUAACCAAUCUUUUUUGCCAUGAUCUGUCCACUUGCUUUGCUUUUGGCCAAAAUAUCCUUAAAGAGCCUGGCAGUAAGGUGGCAUUGCAGUUGUUGCACUUGUGGGAGGCAUUGCUCUUUGCCUUUGGAAGAGACGUAGAGGACCAAACCAGCAGCCAAACAGGGGCCCUGAUGUGCGUCAACAAGUCACAGAGCUCCAACUCUUGGGAGAGGCUAAUGAGAGGGAUGUUGAAGCUGCCGUCUCAGUGGAUGAUGAUACCAUACCUCAACGAGGACAUGGACAUUAACUCCAAGAUACAGGAUCCAAUUUAGUCAGAAUUCAAUUGAAAUCAAUCAAUAAUAAUCUCAUCAUGUAGACAAACUUACUGGCUUAGUCUCAUUCAGCUUAUUGUAGUGAAACCCUAAACACGCGGUCAAAGAAAUUAUAUUGCAGAAAACAUGAAGGCUUUCCUAAAAUAGGUCAAUCUGAGGAGCUUCAGGGGCACCUUCGCUCAUUCUUCCACUUAUUUAUUCUUUUUUCUGUAUUGUGCUUUUGUCAUGAUUUGUCUAUGUGAACCCGGACAGAACACGCACACACAGAGUUUGUUCUAUUGCAGUUUAUUGAAAGUAAUGAGUAGGAUGAUGAUGACCAGAGUUAGUAACCGGACUGGAGAUGAUGGGUGCAGGAGCAGGCUGACUGGAAGAGACUGGAGAGAGUGCUAGGAGGUGCUGGGCUGCUGUCAGACCAGAGGUGCAGAGUGAGACAGUUAUUGGGGUGUAGGACUGCUGGAGCACAGGGAAGCAGGCAGUCCAGCAACAGAGCAGAGAGCAAACCUGGAGCACUGGCUUUACUUGAGGCACAGAGGAGGCAGGAAAUCCAGCAACAAAGCAGGGAACAAACCAGGCUGACGGACGUGGAGUGAGUGGAGACUGAUGAGAACAGGACUAGACAGGCGUGGUUUUGGUAGAGACUGAAGACGAGCCAGCGGGGAAGAGAAGACUGAGGGAGGCUUAUGUAGGGAGGCUGGCAGGUGGAGUGAGUUCUGACUAAUUAGUGCCUAA
Fundulus heteroclitus (mummichog) is the source of this 3043-nucleotide RNA transcript. RefSeq lists it as uncharacterized. The transcript is spliced from 9 exons. NCBI's taxonomy places the organism in Eukaryota, Metazoa, Chordata, Actinopteri, Cyprinodontiformes, Fundulidae. The record is from RefSeq and is a predicted model, not a curated record.